Molecule: ribosomal RNA, 497 nt
Filed under: uncultured bacterium
Lineage: Bacteria
Description: partial 16S ribosomal RNA
Rfam family: Bacterial small subunit ribosomal RNA
Source: RNAcentral
GACGAACGCUGGCGGCGUGCCUAAUACAUGCAAGUUGAGCGCUGAAGGUUGGUACUUGUACCCAAUGGAUGAGCAGCGAACGGGUGAGUAACGCGUGGGGAAUCUGCCUUUGAGCGGGGGACAACAUUUGGAAACGAAUGCUAAUACCGCAUAAAAACUUUAAACACAAGUUUUAAGUUUGAAAGAUGCAAUUGCAUCACUCAAAGAUGAUCCCGCGUUGUAUUAGCUAGUUGGUGAGGUAAAGGCUCACCAAGGCGAUGAUACAUAGCCGACCUGAGAGGGUGACCGGCCACAUUGGGACUGAGACACGGCCCAAACUCCUACGGGAGGCAGCAGUAGGGAAUCUUCGGCAAUGGACGAAAGUCUGACCGAGCAACGCCGCGUGAGUGAAGAAGGUUUUCGGAUCGUAAAACUCUGUUGGUAGAGAAGAACGUUGGUGAGAGUGGAAAGCUCAUCAAGUGACGGUAACUACCCAGAAAGGGACGGCUAACUACGUG